GGACUACUGGGGUAUCUAAUCCUGUUCGCUCCCCACGCUUUCGCUCCUCAGUGUCAGAACAGGCCCAGAGAACCGCCUUCGCCACCGGUGUUCCUCCCGAUAUCUGCGCAUUUCACCGCUACACCGGGAAUUCCGUUCUCCCCUACCUGCCUCAAGUCUGCCCGUAUCCACCGCAGACCCGCAGUUAAGCUGCGAGCUUUCACGACAGACGCAACAAACCACCUACGAGCUCUUUACGCCCAAUAAAUCCGGACAACGCUUGCGCCCUACGUAUUACCGCGGCUGCUGGCAC
Molecule: ribosomal RNA, 292 nt
Filed under: uncultured bacterium
Lineage: Bacteria
Description: partial 16S ribosomal RNA
Source: RNAcentral